CAGAACCCGAACCACGAAAAAAGAAAAUCAACCUUCUGCCAGUGGCAUCUGACUCAGAUAAUGAAAAUGAACAUGUAUCAGUACGCACUGCUUUGGAUUGUUAUCAAGCAGAAGCCAUCAUGGGCACAGAUGCAUGUUCUCUGGAGUGGUGGUUGAAGCAUGA
Dermochelys coriacea (leatherback sea turtle) is the source of this 163-nucleotide long non-coding RNA. RefSeq lists it as uncharacterized. Lineage: Eukaryota; Metazoa; Chordata; Testudines; Dermochelyidae. The record is from RefSeq and is a predicted model, not a curated record. The transcript is spliced from 3 exons.